This is a non-coding RNA of Serinus canaria (Common canary), 458 nucleotides long. NCBI's taxonomy places the organism in Eukaryota, Metazoa, Chordata, Aves, Passeriformes, Fringillidae. The record is from the annotation of a RefSeq genome assembly.
ACUGGGCCUGAGAGCAGUGACAGAGGCCCAGGCAGGGCAGGUGUGGGCAGAGAUGUUGUGUAGGCACAGCAGUGAUGGAGAGAGGCCACUGAGAGCUGGCCUGGCCAUGUGGAGAGCCCUGUGCGUGGGCUUCUUGCCCAUUGUAGCAGUCACUGGCCAGGUGACCUUGGAGCAGAACCCCAGGGGACUGACGGUGCAAGAGGGAAAUGAAGUCACCCUCAAGUGCAAUAUGGAGAGAGGUGAUAUGAGCAGAUACUACAUGAACUGGUACCGUCAGGGCCCACGGGGUAAGGAAUGGAUUUCCACGGACGGUUCUACCUAUGAAGGUUUCAAAGAUCGCUUUAAGGCAAGACUGGAGAGCUCCAAGAACAGCUACCCACUACAGAUCCUGGCAGCAGAGCCAGGUGAUGCAGCAGUAUACUACUGUAGAGCAGACCCACCCUGAAGUAGCUCUGCGG